Meriones unguiculatus (Mongolian gerbil) is the source of this 1053-nucleotide long non-coding RNA. RefSeq lists it as uncharacterized. The transcript has 3 exons. Lineage: Eukaryota; Metazoa; Chordata; Mammalia; Rodentia; Muridae. The record is from RefSeq and is a predicted model, not a curated record.
UGUCUUCUCUCUAAUAAAUGCCAGCCAGCAGCACCCUGGAAGAGUCAGGCCUGGCUUCCGGGGAGAAGGCCUCUGAUGGUGGGACUAGAAUUGUUUGACGUUCAAUCAUGUCCCCCAGAGAGAGCAUUCACACCACUAGUUAAUGGUUACAUCCAAUGGAGGAAAAGAUCAAAUCUUCGCUGUGCCUUUCUGGGAACCCUGUCACCUUUUCGCUCACACUCCCCUUUUCAGAAGGUGUCAGGCUGAUGGCAGAGCAGGCAGUGCUGGGAAACGCCACCAUGCUGCUCCUGCUUUCUGUCCAAGUCUACCCACAUCUCUGCCUGCCGAGGAUGUGUGCUUGGCCCUAUUCCUAUGCUGGAAAUUAUCAAAGGAGCAGCUCUCGGUCUAGCUCUGCCUAUACAGGGAUGUCCACAGUGGCCCAUGCUCUGCCUGGGACUGAAUGGUAGCCUGAAUAGCUGUGGGUAUCCAGAACUAUGCUACCUUCGUAUCUGCAGGUAGAAGAACAAGGUGUGGAUGACAGCUGUUUUUAGGUCGUGUGUUGUAAAGGUCGCUUCCGCCAGGUGUUUUUAAACAGCAGUGAGAGCACUAACUCGGUUAAGGCACAGUUGUUCUGUCUCUGUGUCUUGGUGGAUGCCAGCAAUCCCAGAACAAGACCGUUGCUGUUGGAGUGUGAAAGCUCUGAACUCCGCCCCGCUGACCCUGAGCCGGAGGAUGAACUCUUGGAAACCUGCGUGCUCUUCGGCUGCGUUCUGACCACUUACUGGAGCAUCUGAGCCUCGAGGUUGUCCAAAGCGUGGGACUCUGGUGGCAGGGGAUGGGGUUGAAUGCUAUGGCAUUCACAAUGAAGCCAAAGGAAAACUUCUGCCUGAAUUCUGGAGAUGAACUUGGGUCACCAGGCUUGGCAGCCCGGACCUUCAUCCACCAAGCCUCUCUCCAGUCCCAGUUUCAACAAAUUCUGCGGUCAAUUUUUUCACACCUUUUUUGUUUGCUUGUUUGUUUUGAAGACAAACAACUCCACAACUAAUAAUAAAAAUGUUUUACUUUCUAAUUGCA